AAGAAGGUGACAGAAUGGUUAUGUGGCUGACUUGAAAUCAGCACAUGGGGGUUCAAUUCCUCCCCUUCUCG
RNAcentral lists this transfer RNA (71 nucleotides) under Capros aper (boarfish). Its description in RNAcentral is "tRNA-Ser(UCN)". It matches the Rfam family "tRNA". From Rfam's summary of the family: Transfer RNA (tRNA) molecules are approximately 80 nucleotides in length. Their secondary structure includes four short double-helical elements and three loops (D, anti-codon, and T loops). Lineage: Eukaryota; Metazoa; Chordata; Actinopteri; Caproiformes; Caproidae. The record is from RNAcentral.